Molecule: non-coding RNA, 882 nt
Organism: Hydra vulgaris (swiftwater hydra)
Lineage: Eukaryota; Metazoa; Cnidaria; Hydrozoa; Anthoathecata; Hydridae
Source: RefSeq, a predicted model, not a curated record
UAAUUUUGAAUUUGCCACUACUAGUGAUACUCAGAUAGAAUCAGAAUCAGAAAGUGUUAACUAUUUUAAAAGAUUAAAACUUAAGUUAAAAACUUAAUUCAAGUAUUAUUAGUUUUAUUUUGAUAUUAUUUAUUAUAGGAACCACUACCGUUCUUAUGCAAGAGAAAAUAUAAUCCAACCAAAAAUAACCAACAGAAUAGUAAGCAAGUAAUUAGUUCUAUAACGCAAAAAAAGAAAAAGAAAACAACUUUUAUGCAUACUCCGCAUACUAUAGUUCAAGUAUUAGGAUCAGCAAUGGCAAGAUUUUCCUGAGGAAAGAGAGUAUUUUAAUAUAGUGCAAAGCCAAGGUCGCGUGUGUGUUUUUCCACAGAAAAGAAAAAAGUUGUUUUACCAGUGACGCCUGCAUUUGUUUCCCUUAUAAGAAAAGCUACUAAAAAAGAUUCCUUAUCAAAUGGAAAGUCUCCCAUUAUUGAGGAAGAAUUUCAGAAGAAAGUUUUAAAUCCACUGGUAGAAAUGAAAGAGAUGUUGGUAAAGCUCUUUCCAGUAAUUAAAAUAAUAUCACAAAAAAUAAUCCUGAUAUUUUAUGGAUGAAUUCACAGCAGUCGUUUAGUAAUUAUGAUGACAGUUUUAAUGAUUUUUGGGGAUUAUGAUAACAGUUUAAAGGGGUGAUGUCUGAAGUGGUUCAAUUUUCAGACAUAAUCUUAUGGCAAAAGAAUCGUUUAUCUUUUUCCAUUUUACUAAUUUGGUUCAGAGGUUUAAAUAAAUGGGUGACUAAGAUUUUUUUUCUGCCCCCUGUAUGGAGAGCUUAAUCAUAAUUAUUUUUGUUCUUCCUGUUGAUUACCAACAAGUAGAACAAAAAAAAUUAACUCAAUAAUUUAAAGG